GAGUUUUGAGAGGGAGCCCAAAGAGCACAAAUGAUACAUAGAAGAGAAAAGGAGAGGACUUGCCAGAAAGCUGGGAUGACCCAAGCAUUCUGCCAGUGCUCAUUGUAAACAUCAUUCGACUUGAAAUACAACUCAUAGCAAAUCCAACCCACUGAGACAAUAACUGAUACUGCCAAAGCAUUUGUGAAUUUCCGGUAUAUAUCCAGCUUGACCAUCAUCCGCCUAGCCUGAAGCUUAUUUAAAGUGGCAGAAAGGGACUUGAAUAUCCAAAUAAUGAAAAAAGCAUCCAAGAGAGCCACAGGAAGAACCAAAAAAAGUCUUGCCUUCCCUGAAAGAUCACUGACAGCACCCGCAUUCUCUACCAAUUCAAGCACUUCAGAGGCCAGAAAAAAGGUCGCUCCAAGCAUGAUCACCUUUGAGGUAAGGCCACCUAGGGUAGAUCUCACAACACCAUAACCCAUUGAUACCAUGAGAAUUAUGAGACGUGCAACCGUGCGUUUAACUGUACCAAAAGUGACUGCCCAGAUAGUGAUGCCAGUCGGCCUAACUCCAGUUUCAUUGAAUUCAGCAUAAUCAAAAUACCAGAGAGCCAUCUCAAACAUGCCUAGUGUUAUCACCAGUGUUAUACAAUUCAGCAGUGGAAAAACUUCUCUCCAAUAUCUUGCAUACUGAUAGAACCAAAAUACUCCAAGUAUAACAAAAGCAAGGGACAUGAACCCAUAGAAAUUCAUUAGUGGAGCCAUUCUACCAGGUAAAUAGCCAGCAGGAUUUUUCCAUAUAGUUUUUCCUUCUACAACUACACCUUUAAGAUUGGGAUCACAGUGCAUGAAAUACAAAUUAUACAUCCCAGUUUUAGUGACCUGUAUUGAUCUAGAAGGUAAUGUUGCAACUAGCUCAUAUGCAUUGAAUGAAACACCAAAGACAUGGGGCCAGCUAGGAUCCUUUGUUGAUGGGCGGUGAAUGACUUCUCCUUCUGUGCACGCACCCAAUUUAGCGAGAUCUGCCCUGCAGCAGAUAGCUCUUUGACCUCCAUAGGCUGAACCCCCAAUCGUCUCUCUAUCUUCUACCUCAAAAACAAUGGCUUGGACUAACCCCGAGGUAAAGUUAGAAAAUUCCUCAGUUCU
This 1124-nucleotide unclassified non-coding RNA is filed under the name Hevea brasiliensis (rubber tree). The record is from RNAcentral. Lineage: Eukaryota; Viridiplantae; Streptophyta; Magnoliopsida; Malpighiales; Euphorbiaceae.